Molecule: ribosomal RNA, 194 nt
Filed under: uncultured bacterium
Lineage: Bacteria
Description: partial 16S ribosomal RNA
Rfam family: Bacterial small subunit ribosomal RNA
Source: RNAcentral
ACGCUCGACACCGAGGCAGCAGUGGGGAAUAUUGCACAAUGGGGGAAACCCUGAUGCAGCGACGCCGCGUGAGUGAAGAAGUAAUUCGUUAUGUAAAGCUCUAUCAGCAGGGAAGAAAGUGACGGUACCUGAGUAAGAAGCCCCGGCUAACUACGUGCCAGCAGCCGCGGUAAUCUGAGGCGGGCUGGCAAGGC